Molecule: transfer RNA, 68 nt
Filed under: Lepilemur dorsalis (gray-backed sportive lemur)
Lineage: Eukaryota; Metazoa; Chordata; Mammalia; Primates; Lepilemuridae
Description: tRNA-Ile
Source: RNAcentral
AGAAAUAUGUCUGAUAAAAGAGUUACUUUGAUAGAGUAAAUAAUGGAGACCUAUCCCUCCUAUUUCUA